AUAAAGUUUUAUUCUUGCUUAUGUAUUUAUUUUUAUUUGAUAUUAUAUGUAUUUGUUUUUGGGUUGGUAUUUCUGAAGGAUAUUAACUGAUUAAUUUGGCAGUAGUUAGUAUUAUAAAUGAGGGUAACCUUGAUUUAGUUAUAAUAAAUAAAUAUUGAUUAAAUAUGUGCCAGCUGUCGCGGUUAGACAUAAAAUGUGAAUAAAUAUUUUUAGUUAAGUUAGUUAUUAUGUUUUUAUUAAUAAUUUAUUUUGAAUAUUUUUAGGUGAAAUUUAAAUUGUUUGAUUGGAAUUUAUAGAGAAAUUUGGGAAGCUAUGAAGUUUAAUAUAUAAGACUAGGAUUAGAUACCCUAUUAUUUUUUAAUUAAAUUGAUUUAACUUGAGUAGUAGUAGUUAUGGUCUUGAAACUUAAAGAAUUUGGCGGUGUCUUAGUCUAUUUAGAGGAAUCUGUCCCAUAAUCGAUAAUCCACGUGGAACCUUACUUGAUUUAUUAGUAUGUAUACCGCCGUUUAUUGAAGAUCUUUUUAGAGUAUUUUCUAAAUAUUAUAUUGGAUGGAAUUUCAGGUCAAGGUGCAGUUUAUAAUUAAGAGGAGAUGGAUUACAAUAUGUAAAGUAUAUGGAUUGUAAAUUGGAAAAUUUAUAUUAAGGUGGAUUUAAUAGUAAUUAUUUGUAGAUUGUUAUUGUGAUUUUGGCUCUAAGGCGUGCACACAUCGCCCGUCACUCUCGUUAUUUAAGGUGAGAUAAGUCGUAACAAAGUAGGUGUACCGGAAGGUGUAGCUAGAAUUAU
RNAcentral lists this non-coding RNA (784 nucleotides) under Gyna caffrorum. Its description in RNAcentral is "12S ribosomal RNA". The stretch from base 379 to 777 matches the Rfam family "Microsporidia small subunit ribosomal RNA", at positions 752 to 1303 of the family's 1311-position model. Lineage: Eukaryota; Metazoa; Arthropoda; Insecta; Blattodea; Blaberidae. The record is from RNAcentral.